This 463-nucleotide ribosomal RNA is filed under the name uncultured bacterium. RNAcentral's name for it is "partial 16S ribosomal RNA". It matches the Rfam family "Bacterial small subunit ribosomal RNA", at positions 28 to 506 of the family's 1533-position model. The record is from RNAcentral.
GACGAACGCUGGCGGCGUGCUUAACACAUGCAAGUCGAACGGAAAGGCCCUGCUGGCAGGUUACUCGAGUUGCGAACGGGUGAGUAACACGGGGGUUAUCUGCCCUGCACUUCGGGAUAAGCCUGGGAAACUGGGUCUAAUACCGGAUAUGAGCCAGUUUUAGUGUGAUUGUUGGAAAGUUUUUUCGGUGUAGGAUGAGCUCGCGGCCUAUCAGCUUGUUGGUGGGGUAAUUGCCUACCAAGGCGGCGACGGGUAGCCGGCCUGGGAGGUUGGACGGCCACAUCGGGACCGAGAUACGGCAGAGGGUACUACGGGAGGAAGGAGUGGAGAAUAUCGCAGCAUGGGCGCAAGAGUGAUGAAGGGACGCCGAGUGGGGGAUCACGGCCUUCGGGUUGUAAACUCCUUUCGCUAGGGACGACGCUUUUGUGACGGUACCUAGAUAAGAAGCACCGGCUAAUUACGG